CCUACGGGAGGCAGCAGUGGGGGAUAUUGCACAAUGGGGGAAACCCUGAUGCAGCGACGCCGCGUGUGGGAAGACGGUCCUCUGGAUUGUAAACCACUGUCCCCAGGGACGAAGAUGACGGUACCUGGGGAGGAAGCUCCGGCCAACUACGUGCCAGCAGCCGCGGUAAUACGUAGGGAGCGAGCGUUGUCCGUAAGUACUGGGUGUAAAGGGAGCGUAGGCGGGGAUGCAAGUUGGGUGUCAAAACUACCGGCUCAACUGGUAGUCGAAGUCAAAACUGCAGCUCUUGAGUGAAGUAGAGGCAGGCGGAAUUCGUAGUGUAGCGGUGAAAUGCGUAGAUAUUAGGAGGAACACCAGUGGCGAAGGCGGCCUGCUGGGCUUUUACUGACGCUGAGGCUCGAAAGUGUGGGGAGCAAACAGGAUUAGAUACCCUUGUAGUC
Molecule: ribosomal RNA, 440 nt
Filed under: uncultured bacterium
Lineage: Bacteria
Description: partial 16S ribosomal RNA
Rfam family: Bacterial small subunit ribosomal RNA
Source: RNAcentral